CUACCCUGAACAAGCCCAAUCCCCUCUGAUCUCGGAAGCUAAGCAGGGUCGGGCCUGGUUAGUAUUUGGAUGGGAGACCACCAGGUGCUGUAGGC
RNAcentral lists this ribosomal RNA (95 nucleotides) under Pteropus alecto (black flying fox). Lineage: Eukaryota; Metazoa; Chordata; Mammalia; Chiroptera; Pteropodidae. The record is from RNAcentral.